UACGAAGGGUCCAAGCGUUGUUCGGAUUUAUUGGGCGUAAAGCGCGCGCAGGUGGAUUAGCAAGUCAGGUGUGAAAUCUCGGAGCUUAACUCCGAAACUGCGCCUGAAACUGCUAGUCUAGAAUGUCGGAGGGGGCAGGGGAAUUUCACGUGUAGGGGUAAAAUCCGUAGAGAUGUGAAGGAACACCGGAGGCGAAGGCGCCUGCCUAGACGAUUAUUGACACUGAGGCGCGAAAGCGUGGGGAGCAAACAGG
Molecule: ribosomal RNA, 253 nt
Filed under: uncultured bacterium
Lineage: Bacteria
Description: partial 16S ribosomal RNA
Rfam family: Bacterial small subunit ribosomal RNA
Source: RNAcentral